This 168-nucleotide ribosomal RNA is filed under the name Salvia dominica. RNAcentral's name for it is "5.8S ribosomal RNA". It matches the Rfam family "5.8S ribosomal RNA". From Rfam's summary of the family: 5.8S ribosomal RNA (5.8S rRNA) is a component of the large subunit of the eukaryotic ribosome. It is transcribed by RNA polymerase I as part of the 45S precursor that also contains 18S and 28S rRNA. The record is from RNAcentral. Lineage: Eukaryota; Viridiplantae; Streptophyta; Magnoliopsida; Lamiales; Lamiaceae.
UGUCAUAACGACUCUCGGCAACGGAUAUCUCGGCUCCCGCAUCGAUGAAGAACGUAGCAAAAUGCGAUACUUGGUGUGAAUUGCAGAAUCCCGUGAACCAUCGAGUCUUUGAACGCAAGUUGCGCCCGAAGCCAUUAGGCCGAGGGCACGUCUGCCUGGGCGUCACGC